GGCCUCUCAGGGUUGCACCUGGGGAGUUUCCAGUACUCUACCACACUUGACUACUGGAGGGAGAGUCAAGCAGAGGUACAUCCAUUCCAUUCCUAGCUUGGGCAGUGGCUAGCAAGUGGAAGGCAAUCUGCUACAAGU
This 138-nucleotide small nucleolar RNA is filed under the name Ornithorhynchus anatinus (platypus). The record is from RNAcentral. Lineage: Eukaryota; Metazoa; Chordata; Mammalia; Monotremata; Ornithorhynchidae.